UCAAUCUAUUUAUUUUUAUUUUCUUUCUGUGAAACUUUGUAAGCAAAUUCUACUCAUCCUUAGCUUUGUAAUGGCAUAAGGCAUGCCUGAUUUGAAGUUGUGACAAAUUUUUGGCGAGUUUUCAAGAUAGCAGGGGUCUAUUGCCUUAGCAGUGUAGGAGCAUUAGCUCAAAAAAUCUAUAACUCGGUGAUCUCUGACUCAAAUUUGAUGUGAAUUUUUUAAAUGAAUGCACUCUAAAGUUAAGUUUACUAAUAAAUUUAAAUCACUAAUCCCCGAUCUAUAUCAAAUUUUUAAUGAAUUUUUAAAUGCAAAGGGAUCUGCUGCCUCGGCAGUGUUGAACAAUCAUCUUUGAAAAAAUUUAUCUUAAUACUUACUUACAUUUUUUUUCUGAAAUUUGUUGGAAAAAUAACUCUACUAAGUUUUAUUUUAGGAAAAAUUAUAUUUGUCAAUUUUAAACUAUUAAUUGAUUUUUAGUGAAUUUUUAAGUAGAACGGGGUCUGCUGCCUAGGCAGCUCAAGUCGCCUUGCUUUGAAAACACACAUCUCAAAUUUCAUACCUCGGACCACCAUGAAAUUUGGUAGAUAGGAGCAAUUCUAUAUCAACCUCAACCACAAAAAAAUUCAAGU
Molecule: long non-coding RNA, 626 nt
Filed under: Physcomitrium patens
Lineage: Eukaryota; Viridiplantae; Streptophyta; Bryopsida; Funariales; Funariaceae
Description: long non-coding RNA (PPAT_LNC006917)
Source: RNAcentral